RNAcentral lists this ribosomal RNA (203 nucleotides) under uncultured soil bacterium. RNAcentral describes it as "partial 16S ribosomal RNA". It matches the Rfam family "Bacterial small subunit ribosomal RNA", at positions 26 to 257 of the family's 1533-position model. The record is from RNAcentral.
AGAACGAACGCUGGCGGCAUGCCUAAUACAUGCAAGUCGAACGAACUCUUCGGAGUUAGUGGCGCACGGGUGCGUAACGCGUGGGAAUCUGCCCUUGGGUUCGGAAUAACAGUUGGAAACGACUGCUAAUACCGGAUGAUGACGAAAGUCCAAAGAUUUAUCGCCCAGGGAUGAGCCCGCGUAGGAUUAGCUAGUUGGUGAGG